Molecule: ribosomal RNA, 496 nt
Filed under: uncultured bacterium
Lineage: Bacteria
Description: partial 16S ribosomal RNA
Rfam family: Bacterial small subunit ribosomal RNA
Source: RNAcentral
GAUGAACGCUGGCGGCGUGCCUAAUACAUGCAAGUCGAGCGAACGGACGAGAAGCUUGCUUCUCUGAUGUUAGCGGCGGACGGGUGAGUAACACGUGGAUAACCUACCUAUAAGACUGGGAUAACUUCGGGAAACCGGAGCUAAUACCGGAUAAUAUUUUGAACCGCAUGGUUCAAAAGUGAAAGACGGUCUUGCUGUCACUUAUAGAUGGAUCCGCGCUGCAUUAGCUAGUUGGUAAGGUAACGGCUUACCAAGGCAACGAUGCAUAGCCGACCUGAGAGGGUGAUCGGCCACACGGGAACUGAGACACGGUCCAGACUCCUAGGGGGGGCAGCAGUAGGGAAUCUUCCGCAAGGGGCGAAAGCCUGACGGAGCAACGCCGGGUGGGUGAUGAAGGUCUUCGGAUCGUAAAACCUUUUUAUUAGGGAAAAAAAUAUGUGUAAGUAACUGUGCACAUCUUGACGGUACCAAAUCAAAAAGCCCCGGCUAACUACGU